UAAGGAAAACCAAUAAAAUCAAUCAUCUUCAGUUUUGAAAGACUUAGGAUAACUAAGUUUUUCUUCGUGACUUCACGAAGGGCCUAUAGCUCAGUUGGUUAGAGCACACGCCUGAUAAGCGUGAGGUCGGUGGUUCAAGUCCAUUUAGGCCCACCAGAGUUAUAGGUUUCGUAGGAACACAAAUUCUUUGAAAAUUAGGUAAAUAAUAGUUAUUUAUCCGGAACAUUAAAGGAAAUAAGAGCGCACAGCG
Molecule: unclassified non-coding RNA, 250 nt
Filed under: Phytoplasma sp.
Lineage: Bacteria; Bacillati; Mycoplasmatota; Mollicutes; Acholeplasmatales; Acholeplasmataceae
Description: Candidatus Phytoplasma sp. partial miscellaneous RNA
Rfam family: tRNA (bases 80-153)
Source: RNAcentral